Long non-coding RNA from Hibiscus syriacus, 121 nucleotides. RefSeq lists it as uncharacterized. The record is from RefSeq and is a predicted model, not a curated record. NCBI's taxonomy places the organism in Eukaryota, Viridiplantae, Streptophyta, Magnoliopsida, Malvales, Malvaceae. The transcript has 2 exons.
UCUCUCUCUCUCUCUCUCUCUCAACUUCUUCUCCAUCUGAAGAAAUAUUUGAGUUUGUUCUUGUUUUCCGAGGCUUGGAAACCAAGGUGUCGAAGAUCUGGUGAUGGACUCUAGACCGGUG